CACGUAGGGCGCGAGCGUUGUCCGGAAUUAUUGGGCGUAAAGAGCUCGUAGGCGGUUUGUCGCGUCUGCUGUGAAAACCUAAGGCUCAACCUUGGGCUUGCAGUGGGUACGGGCAGACUAGAGUGCGGUAGGGGUGACUGGAAUUCCUGGUGUAGCGGUGGAAUGCGCAGAUAUCAGGAGGAACACCGAUGGCGAAGGCAGGUCUCUGGGCAUUAACUGACGCUGAGGAGCGAAAGCAUGGGGAGCGAACAGG
Molecule: ribosomal RNA, 253 nt
Filed under: uncultured bacterium
Lineage: Bacteria
Description: partial 16S ribosomal RNA
Rfam family: Bacterial small subunit ribosomal RNA
Source: RNAcentral